GUGGGCUGCGUGCACUUUUUAAACCACGAAGCACGCGCUGUUUUGCAAGUCACCUGAACGGCUGAAGCUGCGCGUGCUCUUUUUCACUGAGAGAAUCUUCCACAUAACCAGGUCAGUGUUCUCUUACACGCUAUUAACACACGUUAAUAACGUCUUAUCGUUGAUUAAGACUUUGAGCAGCAACUAUCUCUGCUUAAAAAAACAACAACCCAAUAGAAACCAUAGAAUUUGAAUAGAUUUCAAUUUCAAAUUCAUAGAAUUUGUAAUGGUUUUAAUGGUUAUAAUGGUAAUUGUAUUGGUUUUAAUGGAAACUGUAAUGGCCCCUGUUGGUCUCUACUGUUAAUUUGUUGCCUUCUAUUGGUGGUCUAGUGGAUUCCAUUAAGGAUCAAUAAUGAUAAUGGUAAUGGUUUUAAUGGUUAGCUGAUGGUUUGCAAUGGUAUUUGUAGUGAAGCCAUUAAAAUUUCUGUGAUAGUUUCUAUAGCUUUUUUCAGCAAGUGUGUGUGUGUGUGUGUGUGUGUGUGUGUGUGAGAGAGAGAGAGAGAGAGAGAGAUGAAUUUCAAGCCAACUUUCACUUGGCACCACUUAAAAAGACAUGAUAACUCAGAUCUCUGAUUGCUGUACUAUUGACAUACUGUUCACACUAUCAAAACAAAAAAGUGCCUGGAGAGCGGCUUUUGCUAUUAACUCAGUGUACCUUUAAAUUUAAAAUGUUACCAUGGGUCAUAAAAAAAGGAUUGUAUGAAUAAUUAUACACGCCUAUACUAUGUUUCUGAAGGUAUUAAAUGAAUGUCAUAAAUAUGCAACCUUCCAUCUGACAUUUGAAGCAAUACAAAUAACACUAUUUGUGACAUUAUUUUUAAAUGAUUGUACAAGUAAAAUCUUCCAACACAAAGGUUUGAAAGGUCAGGGCAAGAGAGUCGUUACAACAGAACUAAAUGAUGCUACAUUGAAUGUCUUUGGAUCUUUGGAUUUGGAUUAAGAGUUAUAGGUUCCUAAAGAGAUUGUAUUUCCUCCCAGCAGAUGAUCUACCUGGCGUGAGACAUUUGAGCAGAUUAUCAUUUUCCAAUCAUGGCUGCUUUUGUCUAGACCUUCCUGGUGAACAUAUGCUUUAGAUAUUUUAUGAGUGCAGGUCUUGGUAGUGCUGUGGCCACUGACUGAGGUGUUGAGCUUAGGUUCUUCAGCUGCAGUGGUACCCUUAUCUGAGGCCCAAAGUGAAUAUUGAUGUUUUAGGCAUUGAGAAUUGAUCUGGGACAUUGUUACUUGUCUUGUUACUUAACUUAUGUUGACUUAUGUAAAUGUGUGUGUACGUGUGUCCAAUUCUAACCUACAGAAACAUGGUAACUCAUGAGCAAGUCACAGCAUAUUUAGAGGUCAGUGGUGGGAAAUACGCCAAGAUUGAGCCAAAGAGGCCCGCCGGGACUCACCAGUUAGUUGUUAAAAGUUCACAGAGAUCUGCACCUGGCUUGACUGUGUACAAGGUGCCAAGGCAAGACAAAAGUGUCGUGAUGGCAUUCUGUUUCAAGCUGAAAGAAAAUAUGUAUUAUCCGGUAGUGGAGCGGGACCCAGCCACCGAAAAAGCCAUUGUGAAGGUUGUGGGGCCAAUAAACCAGCCAUUUGAGGGAUUCCCUGAGAAGUAUCUUUUUAAAAGUGGAACAAAUAAUGAGUAUGGAAGCCUGUGCUCAGUGGCAGAACCUAACCAAUAUCUUUCUGUUUCUGAAGAGGUCAUCACCCUCAGCACCAAUCCAUACCUUCAAUUCAGAAUCAGUCUAAACAAACAGGCAAAUAGGAUGGCUUCAACAAACUUUGUUUUGCCUAAGUUUAGGCCAUUAGAUCACCACAGAUUGAUGAGGAAUCACAGAAGAAGAAAGACAGGAAAAUACCAGAAAUCCUGUAGCAAUACCAGCAUCCAUACCCCUGUACCAAGUAGCUCUGGUCACCUAUUAUAACCUAUUAUUCAGAAUCUAUUCAUAAAAAGCAAAUAUAGCAAAUAUAUUUAGCAAAUCAAUACAGGAACAUUUGACAUAUAUGCAUCAUAAAGAAUUUCUUUAUAAAGAAAUAUUUUACAUGUACACUUUACAUUUAUUCUGAUGGAUAUAAAAGCUGAUGCUUUUAUCCAAAGCAACUUACAAUUGAGGAAAUACAAGCAAAGUGACAGGUAUACCAAGCGGAGAACAAUACAAGUAGUGCUACCGUACAUUAUUAUAUGAUGAACACAUUGAAGACUUUGCUGCCAGGAAACACAGGAGUGUGCGUUUGUACAUUUUGAAAUGAGAAAUGCUCCAGCAGAAGACAUAUGUCUGUGUUAAUUUUUGUUUUAAUCUAUUGUUUUAUUUUUAUAAUAUUUAUUCUUUUAAAAUGUUUUUAUUUAAUAUGUCUAAUUUUAGUUUGUAUUUUAUGCUGUAGAGCUACAAUUGUUAAUAAUUACAAUAUAUAUAUAUAUAUUUUUUCGACUUUAUUAAAGUUCUUUUCUGACCAUUAAUGUAGAUGUGUGUUGGUGUUUAAAAAAUAAAAUAAAAUAAAAAAGUAACUU
Ictalurus punctatus (channel catfish) is the source of this 2530-nucleotide long non-coding RNA. The record is from Ensembl. Lineage: Eukaryota; Metazoa; Chordata; Actinopteri; Siluriformes; Ictaluridae.